Molecule: transfer RNA, 86 nt
Filed under: Amycolatopsis bartoniae
Lineage: Bacteria; Bacillati; Actinomycetota; Actinomycetes; Pseudonocardiales; Pseudonocardiaceae
Description: tRNA-Gly
Source: RNAcentral
CUGUCGCUGGGCGACACGAUCGGCGUCGCCACCGCCGGGCAGGUCGAGGGCCUGCUCGCCGCGUUCGCGGACGCGGGCGUCGGGCC